This is a non-coding RNA of Anas platyrhynchos (mallard), 5773 nucleotides long. The record is from RefSeq and is a predicted model, not a curated record. Lineage: Eukaryota; Metazoa; Chordata; Aves; Anseriformes; Anatidae.
UUAAAGGAACCCAGCUGCUUUCAGAGUUCAGCAGCUGAGCUGUGGGGCGGGAUAAAGGUUCCCCAGGAUGGGAGGGAGAUGCAAACCCUUCAUCUGCCCUUUGGGGCUGAGGCUCCUCCUGCCACUGGCAUCGAGUUUCCAUACUCCUGCAGCAGUCCUCUUCCUGCCAGCCAGCCGUGUUCCUGUUUUCUUUGUCGUUUUAAAGUCAGUUCAUGGGCAAGUGAACGUGGGCAAAUCCAAGCAAGGGUGAACUACCUAACGCCAAGAAGUCUCAGCAAAGCACACCCCAUCCUGCACAGUGGGGUUUUGCACGGCAGUGCCGUGUUAGCUGGGGGCACACACAGGUGAGGGGCUGGGGGCACACCAGCACCGGGCACCCCGGGCAUGACAGCAGUGGAAGCUGCAGCGAGCAGCAGCAGCAGCAGCAGCAGCACGGCUCCUGCCUUGGUGGUGCGGCAGGGGUGGCUGGGGGCUUGCAGCUCAUGGGGUGUUCCAAGCAGCGGCCAGGCCCCAGGCAGAGAUGCUUCUUCUUCUGCCAUUUCUAAAUUUCCAGGGCCAAAUACGAGGCAGAGAAAAGGAUCCUCCAUAUGUGCCUUGCCAAACACUCGCAGAUGCAAGCCCAGAUGGCAGCUCCCACUCUGCAGUACCUUCUCCCUGUUCUUUUCACGGUGUCGGGAGCCUUCCUUGGUAUCAGAUGCCGAGUGUGUAUUUGCUGUUUAUGUUCAGGGAGACUGGAGCUACUAUUUUGGAGCAGGGAAGGGAAUGGAAGAGCAAUCAUUUGUGCUGAUUGCUAAUUUGAAUAAGCUUAUUUUUUAGCUUCAGCACCACAGGAUCUACCUUUGAAUAUCAAACGAGGACACGGCACGUUGUUGCCUGUGUAUAUCGAUGCCCGUGCUGCACAGUGCUUUGGGCUGGCAGGGCCGGGCCGUGUGGCUGGUCUGGGCUCCAUCCCGCCCGGUGCUGGUGGCAGCCAGCAGUCCUGCCCCGCCACAGCCCUGCCCGUGUGGCCAUGAUGGAGUGCACGGUGGCCCAGAAGUGACCAGGCUGAUUGCCAUCGUGCUGCUGGCCAGGCACGAGACCACACAGGCUGCCCUGUGUCACCUGCAAUCGCCAGAGAAAUGCAAGUGGUCCCUGGCCAAGGAUGACCCCUCCCCACAGCAGGGCCAUGCUAUGCCGUGCCGUGCCAUGCCGUGCCAUGCCGUGCCGUGCCAUGCCGUGCCGUGCCAUGCCGUGCCAUGCCGUGCUGUGCUGUGCUGUGCCAUGCUGUGCCAGAUCGCUCCUCCAGCGGGUGAGGGACGUGCUCGUGUGCCGGGGCAGCAGCACCCUGUGCCGGCUGGCGUCAGCCCGGGGACAUCUGCGACCCCCCCGCUAGCCCCGAAGGAAGGGAAUACCUGUCAGCGUGCCAGACCCUUCAGAUGUCUCUUUCUUAUAGAGAAGAUUUUGGGAUAAAAGGUUCAGUCUAAUUUAUUCCAUCAGUGUAACAGUUAAGCAUUCAAUUACAAUAUUGGAAACAGCUUUGCAAAAGAAAAGCAUCGGAAAACCAGAGCCGCCUUGCACGGUUUGCAGCGCUCUGCAGUCUCUUCCCUCCCACCCUUCCCUGCUGCAUGUUGCUUACCGGGGGCCCUGCUGUCACAGCCCUCUGCCUGGGGUUUCUGCCCCCAAACCAGCAGUGGUUCCUGUUGCCAUUUCUGCUGCAGGGAAACCACCUCCUUCACUCCCACCCACCCCUGGAAGGCAGUUUCUAAACUGGUCACUUUGUGAUUCCAGUUCCUGCAAAACUGAAGGUGUUUCCUGUCCUCCCCGUCUUAUCCUGGUGCCCCAAGAACCUGCAGGGGAGAGCAAAAAGAAAAGAUGGUUUGGAAACAGAUGAAACCCUGAGCAGACCCAGUGAAGGUGAAAACCAGACAGACCUGGGUCAGAAGAGGGGGGAAUGUGGGGAGAGGCUGGGAGGGGGUGGCUGGGCAUGGAGCAGUCCUGUGGGAGGGCUGGGACCAAGCUGGGGCUGGGACCUGCCGCUAUGCGUGGGGCAGCCGGAGCCCCCAUGGCCAGACACCAGCAUGGCUGGGGCACCCCAGUCCUGGAGCUGCCAUCCGCAGGGAGACCAGGGCACGGGGAUGUGGCUGUGCCUGCUGGGCUCUGCCCUGUUGGUUAUAGGCACUGACUUUCUGGAGCACCAACUUCGUCCAAUUUAAAUAAACAAACCCUGAAAACAGGGAAUUGUAAUUGAAAUGCUGAGAGAUUCUUAUCGAUAGCAUCAGAGGGUGCAGUGUUGUAAUAAGCAGUCCUUCUCAGAUGCUAGGAGUUAUUGAGGUUGCUCCAUAUCUAUGACAGUUUAAUCAGAUCUUGAAAAUCAGGGACAUUAUAUUUUGCACCUGCUCAUGGAAAAAAAAUGAAUGAUGCGGCUCCCCGUCAUGGAUCUUUUAUGCACAAGGCAGGCUACCGAGAGUACAUAAUUCAGAGGGGAAAUGGAAUUACACCAUGAAUGAAGACUAAGCCCAGAGAGUGGUUGAAUGUCACACCGGGUGGAAGAGGAACAUCUCUUCUUUCCUCUUACCCAGCCUUGACAAAUGAGAUGCAGGUGAAAUUUAUGGAGGCUCUUCCACCACCGAGGGAAGAGAAAGGGCUGUGAGCACCAGGAGAUUUUUAAGAGAACAUUUCAGAGAAAAGCUGCCUUGGUUGGGGUGACCAGGACACAGGAACAGAUACGUUUGCUUUUCUUCUCCUUUUAUUAUCUUGAGUAUGUGAAUAUACUUGCUUGCUUAAUCUGUGCAUUAACUUAUCCUAUUGCCAGUACUUAAAAUGCAUGAAAAACAUACAGCCAGAAGGUUUAAAUACAAAUCCGUUCACUUAUAAGUGGCCUUAACAUCUGUGAAAGGUUCCAAGUCCUUAGACAAGAAGCAAAAUAAUGGAUUUAGUUUUGAUUUCUAAAACACCACCCAGAGGUGAGGAGUGAAUUCAGCAGAAAUCAGAAUGGAUUUACUUUCAUUUUUCUGUGGAAGCAUGAAAGCAGAGACGUCAAAGAGAGUUCAUUGCUGAAGGAGGUUCAUUAUCUGUCCCACCCAGAACGUGGGAGACUGAGCUGGAAAGCCACUACCCGCAGAAGAGCCCCGUGCUGGUGCAGGGCAUUCACAACUCGACGGUUUCUCCUCUGCAAUCCCCUUAUCGCAGUGUCGGAUGUGCAGAAGCUCAAUGCACAGUAGUCACCAUAAGGCAAUAAACAUUUACCCACAGCUCCUACAGCCAGCCGUUAGAAGCUGCCAUUGUUUUAUCUGAUUAAUCAGUGAACUGAACAGCCAAUGAUGCUGCAUUUAGGGGCUACUACUGCUGCAUGUGCUGGCCCCAAGCCCCCACACGGCUAAUAUGUGCCUGUCCUGAAGUGGCACCCGGCAAGGGCACGGCUCCUCGGGCCGGGCAGAUGCGACCGUGCCUGCGGCUCUGCUCUGCCCCACGCCAUGGGCAGCAGCUGCCUGUGGAGCCUGAGCAGGGAGCGCGGGUGGAGCGCUGCUCGCUGCCUUCCCUGGGGGUCAAAUCAGCUUACAAAAUGCUGCAUAAGUACUGCUGAAUAAAGAGCGGAGCUUUUGAAGCUGCUAUUUGGUCAUGGAAAGAAAGGCUAAAAUGUUUGUGGCAAAUUAUUCAUUCAGCUCUGCCAAUAGAAGCGGUCACGUCAAAUCAGGCACAAAACUGCAGCUUUUCUGGUGUCGAGCAUUCAGACUGCAGUUCUCUUUGAUCUGCUCUGGGUGAGAGGAGGGCAAAGGCAGAGAUGCCUCCAAGGAAGGAGCCUUUCAGCAGCUGCCCUGCUUGUGCCUUGUGCCCAGGAGGGUCUCCAGGCCCGUGGCUGUGCCUCCUGCGAGAGUUCCCUGAGCAAGCACCGUCGCGGUCAGCCUGCCUGCCAGCAAAGCUGCUGCAUUCGUCUGUCUGCGGGAAAGUGAAGUGUGUUUGAGGAGCCCAUUGUAUCUGACAGUGCUUUGGAGAUUGUCCUGAAGGGCAGCAUGAUCUCAGGGGUGAAUGCAAAAGCAACAAGACCAAGGUCAACGCCACACAGUGAUAACAAAAUAAGCUCUCUUACUUCUCCUGCCCCAACAAGGGUCGUGUGAGACUCUGAGCUCCUGUCAAGCAAGGCUGAGCAAAAGGUCUUUAUCCUGUUGGCAUCUGUGUAGCUAUUCCGACCCAGGCUGAAUACCUGGCUUGCUCACAAGAUCACCUUCUAACUACCAACAGCAGGCAAAUACCACCAAAAACCCACUGCCCCCAGGGCUAUCUGCAGCAUCUUCACUUUCCCCUGUGUCUGGCUUCAUGUAACUGCUGCGGAUGUGGCAUCUUGUGGGAUGCUGCGGGUUCAGAGGCCAGUUCAGCAGCUCAAAGGGGUAGCUAUGAGUAGCAUUGGCCCUCAGUGCGACCCCAAAGGCAGCAGUGUGGUGGGACAGGACCUUUCCCACACUCAGAGGCGGCGUUUCCUUUUUCUCAUCUGAAGUCUGUCGGAAUUUCUUUCUCAAUUGCAUCUGGUUGUCAUCCUCCCAUCCACCCCACAUUGACUUUUUAUUUCUCUGAAAGCCUUCUCAUUCCUUUUCUGCCUUCCCGAAAUAGCACAGGCUUCUGCUGGCGUUUUCCCCAGCUGCCACGUGGGCAGGAAGGCUGCCCUCUGCGGAGACUUCGCACCUCCGGGAGCGGGUGUGCUCCCCGCAGGGAGCGCUCGCUGCUGGCAGAAAUCUCCUCCUCUGCAGAAGCCCGCAAGCCCAGAAGGAUUCUCAUGGCAAAGCUUUUCCCUUGCUGGAGAAAUGUGAUAGCUCUUGGACAGGGUCUCUUCUAAAGAACUUGUCACCGGGGAGAACUCCACUUUGAAGUUCUUAAUCCCGCUCCUCCCUCUGAAUGAGAUCCCCAAGAAAGAGAGCUCUCCAUUCUUCACGAAGCUGAAAUAUUUAAAAGAGGAAAGCCUUAAAUAUUAAUGGAGAGCCUUGCACUGUUUUUGAGGAAGCAUCGUGAAACAGAAAGUGCUCCAGGAAACCGCCACAGACACACGGUUCUCACAUGCAGCUGAGCGCAGACAUCCAAACAUCUGCAACAAACCCGCAGCUGUGGGCUCUGGUAUCCCUUUCUGGUUAGGGCUAUUUCUACAGAAGGGUUUGGCAAGGGGCUAGAGUUGGUCUUUCAGCAAAUGCUGAUGUUUUCUUCAUGAUCACACGUGCUCUGUGUGCUGCCAACCCCUGCUCAGUGCUGGUGGGGCACAGCAGUUUGCUGCCUGGUGCCAGCAUGGGGCCAGACAGGCUCCGGGGCGCUUCAGAGCGGUGCUGGCAGGAGCCGGCAGGAGCCAGACACAUCUGGAGCACAAACGGUGCCGCGGCCAUGGACGGGAGUGUGGUGGCUCCCAGACCACUGGUGGGCAGCCCCGCUGCUGGCCGCAGAGCUCUGCUGCAUGCCAUAAGGUGGCAGGGCCAUGGCUGGCCGCAGCAGGACACGGCGCUCACCCUGGUGUCAGCAAAGCCCUGCCCUGCCAGAUCUGGCCUUCACCUGGCUCUGUUGUGAUGGAACCCAGCAGAGCAGAGCCCUGUUCUGCUGCUGAACAGCACCUGCUUGUCCCAGGCAGGAAGGGCCGCCUGCGAGCAGCUGGUGCUGUGCCGAGGAGCGCCGAGCUGUGGAUGAGGUUGGGUAUUUUUAGGGCUGUGGAGAGAGAGCCACAUAGCUGAACUUCUGUGGUGCUGGCCUGCUGCUGUGUGCCCUUAGUUACUGCUGUGAGUUUUGAAUCAAAAAUUGCUGUUUCUGAAAAAAAACAACAAAA